RNAcentral lists this ribosomal RNA (564 nucleotides) under uncultured bacterium. RNAcentral's name for it is "bacterial SSU rRNA". It matches the Rfam family "Bacterial small subunit ribosomal RNA", at positions 338 to 916 of the family's 1533-position model. The record is from RNAcentral.
CCUACGGGAGGCAGCAGUGGGGAAUUUUCCGCAAUGGGCGAAAGCCUGACGGAGCAACGCCGCGUGAGGGAUGAAGGCCUCUGGGCUGUAAACCUCUUUUCUCAAGGAAGAAGAUCUGACGGUACUUGAGGAAUAAGCCACGGCUAAUUCCGUGCCAGCAGCCGCGGUAAUACGGGAGUGGCAAGCGUUAUCCGGAAUUAUUGGGCGUAAAGCGUCCGCAGGCGGCCCAACAAGUCUGCUGUUAAAAAGUGGAGCUUAACUCCAUCAUGGCAGUGGAAACUGUUGGGCUAGAGUGUGGUAGGGGCAGAGGGAAUUCCCGGUGUAGCGGUGAAAUGCGUAGAUAUCGGGAAGAACACCAGUGGCGAAGGCGCUCUGCUGGGCCAUCACUGACGCUCAUGGACGAAAGCCAGGGGAGCGAAAGGGAUUAGAUACCCCUGUAGUCCUGGCCGUAAACGAUGAACACUAGGUGUCGGGGGAAUCGACCCCUCCGGUGUCGUAGCCAACGCGUUAAGUGUUCCGCCUGGGGAGUACGCACGCAAGUGUGAAACUCAAAGGAAUUGACGG